GGAUUCCCCUAGUAACUGCGAGUGAAGCGGGAAAAGCUCAAAUUUAAAAUCUGGCGGUCUUUGGCCGUCCGAGUUGUAGUCUGGAGAAGUGCUUUCCGCGCUGGACCGUGUAUAAGUCUCUUGGAACAGAGCGUCAUAGAGGGUGAGAAUCCCGUCUUUGACACGGACUACCAGUGCUUUGUGAUGCGCUCUCAAAGAGUCGAGUUGUUUGGGAAUGCAGCUCAAAAUGGGUGGUGAAUUCCAUCUAAAGCUAAAUAUUGGCGAGAGACCGAUAGCGAACAAGUACCGUGAGGGAAAGAUGAAAAGCACUUUGGAAAGAGAGUUAAACAGUACGUGAAAUUGCUGAAAGGGAAACGCUUGAAGUCAGUCGCGUCUGCCGGAACUCAGCCUUCCUUUUGGUUGGUGCACUUUCCGGUAGACGGGCCAGCAUCGAUUUCGACCGUCGGAUAAGGGGUGGGGAAAUGUGGCACCUUCGGGUGUGUUAUAGUCCUCAGUCGCAUACGGCGGUUGGGAUCGAGGAACGCAGCGCGCCGCAAGGCAGGGGUUCGCCCACUUUCGCGCUUAGGAUGCUGGCAUAAUGGCUUUAAACGACCCGUCUUGAAACACGGACCAAGGAGUCUAACAAACCUGCGAGUGUUUGGGUGGAAAACCCGAGCGCGUAAUGAAAGUGAAAG
This 674-nucleotide ribosomal RNA is filed under the name Lentinus lindquistii. RNAcentral's name for it is "LSU rRNA". It matches the Rfam family "Eukaryotic large subunit ribosomal RNA", at positions 72 to 731 of the family's 3401-position model. Lineage: Eukaryota; Fungi; Basidiomycota; Agaricomycetes; Polyporales; Polyporaceae. The record is from RNAcentral.